This 254-nucleotide long non-coding RNA is filed under the name Ananas comosus (pineapple). RNAcentral describes it as "long non-coding RNA (ACOM_LNC027482)". The record is from RNAcentral. Lineage: Eukaryota; Viridiplantae; Streptophyta; Magnoliopsida; Poales; Bromeliaceae.
AAGGACUUGGUGUUUGGUACCCGAGACCCAAGUUCGAAUCCUAGUUGAUUCACAUUUCUAGCUAAGUUUAUUUCUAAAUGAAAUAAACGAAACGGAUAGCGUGCUACCUAUUUCUCAAAAAAAAAAAAAAACUUCAUAUCUUUUAUUGACCUCUUCAAAUUUUUAUUUUUUAUUUAAUUUAAAAUUUUACAUAAAAAUUUUAAUUGUUCUUUGCCACUGUAAUAUAAUUUGAAUAUUUCCUAACUUUUUAAUUU